Molecule: long non-coding RNA, 17123 nt
Organism: Ostrea edulis (European flat oyster)
Lineage: Eukaryota; Metazoa; Mollusca; Bivalvia; Ostreida; Ostreidae
Exons: 2
Source: RefSeq, a predicted model, not a curated record
UAGUGGUGAACGAUAACUAUGAGAGCGCAGCAGAUAAGCGGCUAAAUAUAGACGUGUUUGUACAGUAAAGUACUGACAGUGGAACACGUGCGUGGUCUGAACCUUUAAAAUCACAGUGUUGGCACAGGUUCAAAUUCAUCUGUGCAGUGUAAUUCAAUAUAUUUCGACACAAACGCCGUCUACCUCGUGGAAUGUUUGCCUAUGAUAAGAGAUACUGUCUCUAUACCUUUAUAACUUGAGAACGGACUAUAAUCUGUACAAAGAUGUGAGAAAGCGAAGACGAUGUGUCGAGGACUUUACAGAAAUACGCCACACAGGUAAGUCCGAUCUGUUCACAACACAAUCAUUUUCUUCUCUCAAUCUGAUUAUGUAAUAAAUAUUCAUUUAUAUGCGAUUGCUCGAUCAAUGUAUGUAUUUCAACUUUCACUACUUAUACAAGAUAGAAGUCAUUUGUAAACAGAAAGUAGUAUCAGACACAGACAAAAAUACAGGAUCGUACAAAAGAAAUGUGAAACACCGUGUGUUAUUUUGAUUUUCUUUCCAUCACGAUAUGCUACCUCUAUAUAUCAAAUUAAAAAUCAUAUCUCGCAGUUACAUGUAUUUAAAUCAAAUUAAUGCUGUAAUAUCCAGAUGCCAAAACUAAACAUAGAAGCAUCAACCGGCAUAUAUUGAUUUCUGAAUUUCGGACCUUAGUUCUGAUAUUUAAUUAAUGAACCCGUGGUCUAAUUCCGUGCUCUAAUUCUGAACAUUAAUCGUCUUACCUCUAAUCGAAUUUCAAAAUGGCGACGACCCUCCGCUUCCUCACUGAGCCAUCACAUUACUGUAUACAACGCAUGACCUGUCUCUAUUUUAUUUCCUCAUAGUCGUGAAAUACUUCCUGUUCGAUGUGAUUUUAGAAAAUAUACAAAAGAAAAUAAUAUAUUACGUAGACAAUGUUGGUAGAUGGGAGCAGCUGUAGCUGUGUGUCUACGAUCGAGAGAAACAGAAUUCAUUUCUGUGACUGGAAUAUCAAUUAGCAUUGUAAACCAUAUUUAAUUAAUCAAUAUCUGUAAUAUGUUUCGGAAUCAAGAACUUGCCGUGCUCAUAAAUGUGGUGAUGCAGUGAGUUUGGUAGUGGAACCGUAAAAUAUCAAAUAGGAAUCUGAUACAUAUAUUUUUCCAUGAAAGACAUCGUUGUUCAUACUAGUUUGAAAAUUCACUUCCGCAGUUACAUGAAUCGUAUUUAUGUUUAUCAACUGAUCACUGUAAUAAUAACAACUGAUCACUGUAAUAAUAACAACUGAUCACUGUAAUAAUAACAACUGAUCACUGUAAUAAUAACAACUUUAUUUACUAUCACUGUAAUAAUAACAACUUUAUUUACUAUCACUGUAAUAAUAACAACUUUAUUUACUGAUUAUUGCAAAAUUUCCAGUAAUUUUAUUAACUGAUCACCAAAAUAUCCAAGUAACUUUAAUAUCUGAUCAUUGCAUUAUCCAAGUAACUUUAUUAUCUGAUCAUUGCAUUAUCCAAGUAACUUUAUUAUCUGAUCAUUGCAUUAUCCAAGUAACUUUAUUAUCUGAUCAAUGCAUUAUCCAAGUAACCUUCUUCACUGAUCAAUGCAUUAUUCAAGUAACUUUAUUCACUAAUCACAGAAUUAUAGAUGUACAAAGAACUUUAUCAACUGACCAAUGCAUCAUCUUAGUAACACUAUCCCAGCAACUUUAAUUACUAAUUAAAUUAUCCAAGUAAUUUUAUUUACUAAUCACAGAAUUAUCCCAAUAAUUUUAUUAACUGAUCACAAAAUUAUCCAAGUAGCUAAAUUAACUGAUCUAAGUAACUUUAUUUACUAAUUACAAAAUUAUCCAUGUAACUUUAUUCUCUAAUCACAUAAUUAUCAAAGUAAUUUUAUCCACUGUAACUAAGUUAUCCAAGGGACUUUAUUAACUUGUCACUGCAUUUUCUCAAUAAUUUUUUAACCGAUCACUAUUCCCGUGGGGAUCCGGGUUAGAAUAGGUCCUCAGUACCCCUUGCUUGUCGUAAAAGGCGACUUCGGAUGAGACCACAAAAACCGAGGUCCCAUGUCACAGCAGGUGUGGCACGAUAAAGAUCCCUCCCUGCUCAAAAGCCCUAAGCGCCGAGCAUAGGCCUAAAUUUUGCAGCCCUCCACCGGCAAUGAUGACGUCUCCAUAUGAAUGAAAAAUUCUCGAGAGGGACGUUAAACAAUAUUCAAUCAAUCAAUUAACCGAUCACUACUGUAUUAUCCAAGUAAUUUUAACCGGUCGCAGUAGCUCAGUGGUAGAGCGUUUGCCUCGUAAACGGAGGGUCGAGAGUUCGAGUCCUGCUUGAGCCAUGGCUGUGUCAAACUUAUUAUUCCUUCGCCACACGCUCAGUAUUACACAACAACCGCGGUGGUCUAGAGGUUGAACGUUCGCCCCGCAAGCGGAAAGUUGGGGUUUGAAUCCUGGCUGCGACAGACCUAAAUCGUUAAAACAGAUAGUGAUAGUUCCAUCGCCAAACGUGCGGCAUCAGGUGUGAAUAUCACGGGUCCUCGGAGAUGACUUUAAAAACGGAAGUCCCGUGUCACAGUAGGUGUGGCAUGCUAAAGAACCUUCACUGCUCAAUGGCCGUAAGCGCCGAGCAUAGGAUUAAAUUUGAAGCCCUUCACCGGUAUUGGUGACAUCUUAUAUUGGGUGAAAAAUUCUUGAGAGGGAUGUUAAACAAGAUACAAUCAAUCAAUGAAUCGGAAUUAAGAAGUGACAAUCGCGGGUCUUUCGGAUCGGAGACGUUGGCACUUUAAAGAAUCCUCAGUGCAACGACCAUAAACGCGGAGCCAAAUUUGUGGUACCUUCAAAACGAGUGAAUAAUAACAGGACGUAAAACAUCCAACCAAACCCAAGUAACAACUUAUCCUAGUCAAUUUAUUAACUUUAUCAACUUCUCACUGCAUUAUCCUAGUCAAUUUAUUAACUUAUAUCAACUUCUCACUGUAUUAUCCUAGUCAAUUUAUUAACUUAUAUCCCGGUAACUUUAUCUCACUGCAUUAUCCUAGUCAAUUUAUUAACUUAUAUCCCGGUAACUUUAUCAACUUCUCACUGCAUUAUCCUAGUCAAUUUAUUAACUUAUAUCCCGGUAACUUUAUCUCACUGCAUUAUCCUAGUCAAUUUAUUAACUUAUAUCCCGGUAACUUUAUCUCACUGCAUUAUCCUAGUCAAUUUAUUAACUUAUAUCCCGGUAACUUUAUCAACUUCUCACUGCAUUAUCCUAGUCAAUUUAUUAACUUAUAUCCCGGUAACUUUAUCAACUUCUCACUGCAUUAUCCUAGUAUUUACUCACCUCAGUAGUGGAAAGUUCGACUCGUAACCGGAAGUCGAGGGUUUGAGUCCCGCCCGUGCCAUGGCCACGUGAAACUGAAGAUGUAAACAUGAAAUGAUUGCUCCUUCUAAACUGUUCGUUAUCUUCACUUUUUCCAUCGCCAAACGUUCAUCAUUAAGAAGUGACAAUCACAUGUAUUUUGGAUGUGACCUUAAAAACGGAGUUCCGGUUUUGCGGCAGAUCUAGACAUUUGCACGUUUAAGAUUCCUAACUGCAACGACCAAAAGCGCUAUAAGCAUGGGUCUAAAUUUGUGGUACUUCACCUACAACUAAUGUCGUCUCACAAUAAGUGAAUAAUUUUCGACGGAACAUAAAAUAACCAUCCAAAUCCCAGUAACCUUAUAAACCGAUCACUGCAUUAUCCCACUAACUAUAUUAACUGAUCACUAAAUUAUCCCAGUAACUAUAUUAACUGAUCACUAAAUUAUCCCAGUAACUAUAUUAACUGAUCACUGCAUUAUCCCAGUAACUAUAUUAAUUGAUCACUAAAUUAUCCCAGUAACUUUAUAAACCGACCAUUGCAUUAUCCCAGUAACAUAUUAACUGAUCACUAAAUUAUCCCAGUAAUUUUAUAAACCGAUCACUGCAUUAUCCCAGUAACUAUAUUAACUGAUCACUGCAUUAUCCCAGUAGCAUAUUAACUGAUCACUAAAUUAUUCCAGAAACUAUAUUAAUUGAUCGCUGCAUUAUCCCAAUAACUAUAUUAACUGAUCACUAAAUUAUCCCAUUAACCUUAUAAACCGAUCACUGCAUUAUCCCAGUAACUUUAUAAACCGAUCACUGAAUUAUCCCAGUAACUAUAUUAAUUGAUCACUGCAUUAUCCCAGUAACUAUAUUAACUUAUCACUAAAUUAUCCCAGUAACCUUAUAAACCGAUCACUGCAUUAUCCCAGUAACUUUAUAAACCGAUCAUUGCAUUAUCCCAGUAACUUUAUAAACCGAUCACUGCAUUAUCCCAGUAACUAUAUUAACUGAUCACUAAAUUAUCCCAGUAAAUAUAUUAACUUAUCACUAAAUUAUCCCAGUAACCUUACAAACCGAUCACUCCAUUAUCCCAGUAACUUGUUAACUGAUCACUAAAUUAUCCCAGUAAUUUUAUAAACCGAUCACUGCAUUAUCCCAGUAAUAUAUUAACUGAUCACUAAAUUAUCCCAGUAACUAUAUUAACUGAUCACUAAAUUAUCCCAGUAACCUUACAAACCGAUCACUGCAUUAUCCCAGUAAUUUUAUAAACCGAUCACUGCAUUAUCCCAGUAACAUAUUAACUGAUCACUAAAUUAUCCCAGUAACUAUAUUAACUGAUCACUGCAUUAACCCAGUAACUAUAUUAACUGAUCACUAAAUUAUCCCAGUAACUAUAUUAACUGAUCACUAAAUUAUCCCAGUAACUAUAUUAACUGAUCACUGCAUUAUCCCAGUAACUUUAUAAACCGAUCACUGCAUUAUCCCAGUAACUAUAUUAAUUGAUCACUAAAUUAUCCCAGUAACUAUAUUAACUGAUCACUAAAUUAUCCCAGUAACUAUAUUAACUGAUCACUGCAUUAUCCCAGUAACUUUAUAAACCGAUCAUUGCAUUAUCCCAGUAACUAUAUUAACUGAUCACUAAAUUAUCCCAGUAAUUUUAUAAACCGAUCACUGCAUUAUCCCAGUAACUAUAUUAACUGAUCACUGCAUUAUCCCAGUAACAUAUUAACUGAUCACUAAAUUAUUCCAGUAACUAUAUUAAUUGAUCACUGCAUUAUCCCAGUAACUAUAUUAACUGAUCACUAAAUUAUCCCAUUAACCUUAUAAACCGAUCACUGCAUUCUCCCAGUAACUUUAUAAACCGAUCACUGAAUUUUCCCAGUAACUAUAUUAAUUGAUCACUGCAUUAUCCCAGUAACUAUAUUAACUAAUCACUAAAUUAUCCCAGUAACCUUAUAAACCGAUCACUGCAUUAUCCCAGUAACUUUAUAAACCGAUCAUUGCAUUAUCCCAGUAACUUUACAAACCGAUCACUGCAUUAUCCCAGUAACUAUAUUAACUGAUCACUAAAUUAUCCCAGUAACUAUAUUAACUGAUCACUGCAUUAUCCCAGUAACCUUAUAAACCGAUCACUGCAUUAUCCCAGUAACUUAUUAACUGAUCACUAAAUUAUCCCAGUAAUUUUAUAAACCGAUCACUGCAUUAUCCCAGUAACUUUAUAAACCGAUCACUGAAUUUUCCCAGUAACUAUAUUAAUUGAUCACUGCAUUAUCCCAGUAACUAUAUUAACUAAUCACUAAAUUAUCCCAGUAACCUUAUAAACCGAUCACUGCAUUAUCCCAGUAACUUUAUAAACCGAUCAUUGCAUUAUCCCAGUAACUUUACAAACCGAUCACUGCAUUAUCCCAGUAACUAUAUUAACUGAUCACUAAAUUAUCCCAGUAACUAUAUUAACUGAUCACUGCAUUAUCCCAGUAACCUUAUAAACCGAUCACUGCAUUAUCCCAGUAACAUAUUAACUGAUCACUAAAUUAUCCCAGUAAUUUUAUAAACCGAUCACUGCAUUAUCCCAGCAACCUUACAAACCGAUCACUGCAUUAUCCCAGUAACUAUAUUAACUGAUCACUAAAUUAUCCCAGUAACUAUAUUAACUGAUCACUGCAUUAUCCCAGUAACCUUAUAAACCGAUCACUGCAUUAUCCCAGUAACUUAUUAACUGAUCACUAAAUUAUCCCAGUAAUUUUAUAAACCGAUCACUGCAUUAUCCCAGUAACUAUAUUAACUGAUCACUGCAUUAUCCUAGUAAUUAUAUUAACUGAUCACAGCAUUAUCCCAGCAACCUUACAAACCGAUCACUGCAUUAUUCCAGUAAUUUUAUAAACCGAUCAUUGCAUUAUCCCAGUAACAUAUUAACUGAUCACUAAAUUAUCCCAGUAACUAUAUUAAUUGAUUACUGCAUUAUCCCAGUAACUAUAUUAACUGAUCACUAAAUUAUCCCAGUAACUUUAUAAACCGAUCACUGCAUUAUCCCAGUAACUAUAUUAAUUGAUCACUGCAUUAUCCCAGUAACUAUAUUAACUGAUCACUAAAUUAUCCCAGUAAAUAUAUUAACUGAUCACUAAAUUAUCCCAGUAACUUUAUAAACCGAUCACUGCAUUAUCCCAGUAACAUAUUAACUGAUCACUAAAUUAUCCCAGUAACUAUAUUAAUUGAUCACUGCAUUAUCCCAGUAACUAUAUUAACUGAUCACUAAAUUAUCCCAGUAACUAUAUUAAUUGAUCACUGCAUUAUCCCAGUAACCAUAUUAACUGAUCACUAAAUUAUCCCAGUAACUAUAUUAAUUGAUCACUAAAUUAUCCCAGUAACUUUAUAAACCGAUCACUGCAUUAUCCCAGUAACAUAUUAACUGAUCACUAAAUUAUCCCAGUAACUAUAUUAAUUGAUCACUGCAUUAUCCCAGUAACUAUAUUAUCUGAUCACUAAAUUAUCCCAGUAACUUUAUAAACCGAUCACUGCAUUAUCCCAGUAACUAUAUUAUCUGAUCACUAAAUUAUCCCAGUAACUAUAUUAACCGAUCACUGCAGUCUUGUUUUGUUAGUUCAUUCUAGAAUUUUUCACUCUUAAAGGGAUCGCGGUAGCUCUGUCAUGACUAGUAGAUGACCUAUAUUAAUGUGCAGGUACAAAAGCCAGAGGACACGGGUUUUCUAGCAUGUAUGUUAUGUAGCAGUUGUCUAGCUGGUAAUUCUAGCAUGUAUGUUAUGUAGCAGUUGUCUAGCUGUAAGUGGUAACUAGAGAGUCCUUUACCCAAUCAUCAUCAAACAUUGUAAUUUAUACAGACUUGUUCUGACUUUUCUAUAACCUUUUAAUAAUUUUGAGGAGGUCAAAACGUCAAAGUUCAUUGAGUGUCUAGCAGGCAUACAAUAUUUACUGUCCAACAAAUAACUAAAGAUCCCUUUAUCUCAUAUUGAUUUUCAGGUUAAAAAUCAAAGGGCUUUCUUGGAUGCAUAAAGUAAUUGUAGUCCGAUCGAUAACUAAAUAUCAGAGUUCAUAGACAAAUUGAUCAUCACUAGUCAACCCCUAUUGGUUUUCAGAUUUAUUAUCCUUGUUCUGCGUAUGAUCAGUUCUCAAAUCGAGACAGACAACUGACAGACAAGUUGAUGAUGCAGGGGUUUCAACAGUCUCGUUUAAAGUCAGCAUUUCGCAAAUUCUAUGGUAGCUAUAACAAUCUAAUUUGCUAAUAUAACCUGUCAUUGGGCCAAAUGCUUGUUUCAAACCGAUUGUUAGGCCGUUCUUGGCACACUGAUUUUUACUACGGACAACUCCGUUUACCUGAUCAAGAUAUAAAUCGCACGGCGGGUGUGACCGGUCGACAGGGGAUGCCUACUUUUCCUAGGCACAUGAUCCCACCUUUGGCAUAUGCAGGGGUCCGUGUUUGCCCAAAUUUGUUUUAUAUUGCUUAUAGGAGUUAUGAGAUUGAUCACUGUUCGUUAUCUUCACCUUUCAGUUUGGGAAAGGGGUAUAUAUUUUACAAAUACGACCAGUUCCAAUUGAAUUUUUAAAUGAAAAUAAACGAUAAAGAAUUAGAACAAGAGAAACACGCAACAUGUUUGUAAUUUUGUGAAUUGUAUUUGUCUGAGUCAUACAAGGAAUAAUUUCAUUUAUAUGUAAAACUUAUACGGUACCAAUUUUGAUGCACCAGAUGCACAUUUCGACAAAUAAUGUCUCCUCAGUGAUGCUCAAGCCGAAAGUUUGGAAAUUCGAAAUAACAAUAAACUUGAAAGAGCUAAAAAGAAAACCAGAGUGCCAAACACUGGAGCCAAAUUCGUCCAAGGAUCAGAGCUAUAUAUGAGGGAAAUUAUCCUUAAUUUUGAAAUGAAUUUCUAAAUUUUAUCCCAGCAAUUGAAUAUACAUCCGUAUUUUCAAGCUAGUAACAUAUAGUGCCAGGAGGAGACAUCCGGUACCUUCACGAUCAUCUCUUGGUUUAAGCGUUUUGGAGAGACAUAAAACAAAGGCCGCUUAAAUCACAGGAAAAGACAAGUACUUAUAAAAGCUAUUAUUAGAAUUGCUUCUAAAUCGUAGAAACGUGGUAUUGUUAGAAAAAGAGAGUCUGGCCGGAAUAGUUUUGUUCACGUUCUAAAAUCUCAUCCAAGACAUAUAGAUAUUAGUUGAAUAUAGGAUGACUAUACGUGAAGUAUGUAUAUAUUUAGGACGAGUUAAACUAACUAUCUCUCCCUUUUCUGAAUUUCAAUUUACUAAAAUCAUUAUCAAUAGGUCUAAUCAAAUUUGGUUGGUUGAUUGAUUGUAAAGAUUAUAUGGUGUGUUUAUUGAAAAUCUUCUCAAUUACACUAACGUAAAACUUAUACGGUGCCAAUUUUAAUGCACCCGGUGCGCAUUUCGACAAAUGUCUCUUCAGUGAUGCUCAAGCCGAAAUACGAACUCUACACAAGAUUCGAUCACCUGUACAACCUAACAAUCCUUAUCGAAGAUUUCAUCUUGAAACCUCUACGUUAAAGACAUCUGUGUCCCCACUGCUCUGGGGUUCUGUUGUCAAAAAUGGUUCCAAGUCCUGCUGAGACACGCAACAUUUAUAUUACCGUGUACAAGGAAGAACCGCCUUUCUGGUAAGUAAGGAGAUCACUUUUGUAUAUGUAGUUUCGUAAUAAGUUUGAUAUGAAUUACAUUACUUGUGAUAUUUGUUCUCUAUUUUUAGCUCACCUGAACCGAAGGUUCAAGUGAGCUAUUCUGAUCACAUUUUGUCCGGCGUCCGUCUGUCUGUCUGUCCGUCUGUCUGUCCGUCUGUCCGUAAACUUUUCACAUUUUCGACUUCUUCUCCAGAACCACUGGGCCAAUUUCAACCUAACUUGGCCAAAAGCAUCCUUGGGUGAAGGGCUUUCAAGUUUGUUCAAAUGAAGGUCCAUGUCCCUUUCAAAGGGGAGAUAAUCACAAAAAUGCAAAAAUAGCGUGGGGUCAUUUAAAAAUCUUCUUCUCAAGAACCACUGGGCCAGAAGAGUUGAAAUUUUCCUGAAAGCUUCCUGACAUAUUGCAGAUUCAAGUUUGGUCAAAUCAUGGCCCCCGGUGGUAGGAUGGGGCCACAAGGGGGAAUCAAAGUUUUACAUACAAAUAUAUAGGGAAAAACUUUAAAAAUCUUCUUCUCAAGAACCACUAAGCCAGAAAAGCUGAGAUUUACAUGAAAGCUUCCUGACAUAAUGCAGAUUCAAGUUUGUUCAAAUCAUGGGCCCCUGGGGUUGGAUGGGGCCACAAUAGGGGAUCAAAGUUUUACAUACAAAUAUAUAGGAAAAAUCUUUAAAAAUCUUCUUCUCAAGAACCACUAAGCCAGAAAAGCUGAUUUUUACAUGAAAACUUUCUGACAUAGUGCAGAUUCAAGUUUGUUCAAAUCAUGGCCCCCGGGGAUAAGAUGGGGCCCCAAGGGGUGGAUCAAAGUUUUACACACAAAUAUAUAAGGAAAAACUUUAAAAAUCUUCUUCUCAAGAACCACUGAGCCAGAAAAGCUGAGAUUUACAUGAAAGCUUACUGACAUAAUGCAGAUUCAAGUUUGUUCAAAUCAUGGGCCCCGGGGGUUGGAUGGGACCACAAUAGGGGAUCAAAGUUUUACAUACAAAUAUAUAGGAAAAAUCUUCUUCUCAAGAACCACUGAGUCAGAAAAGCUGAUUUUUACAUGAAAACUUUCUGACAUAGUGCAGAUUCAAGUUUGUUCAAAUCAUGGGCCCCGGGGGUAGGAUGGGGCCACAAGGGGGGAUCAAAGUUUUACAUACAAAUAUAUAGGAAAAAUCUUUAAAAAUCUUCUUCUCAAGAACCACUGAGCCAGAAAAGCUGAUUUUUACAUGAAAACUUUCUGACAUAGUGCAGAUUCAAGUUUGUUCAAAUCGUGGCCCCCGGGGGUAGGAUGGGGCCCCAAGGGGGGAUCAAAGUUUUACAUACAAAUAUAGGAAAAAGCUUUAAAAAUCUUCUUCUCAAGAACCAUUGGGCCAAAGAAGUUGACAUUUACAUGAAAGCUUUCUGACAUAGUGUAGAUUCAAGUUUGCAAAGGGUAGUUUGGGCCAUAAUAGGGACUAAGGUUUUACAUCCAAAUAUAUAUGGAAAGUCUUCAGAUAUGGGCCAAGGUGACUCGGGUGAGCGAUGUGGCCCAUGGGCCUCUUGUUUUAAUUGUUUUUAUCAUUUUCAACAAAUACAUAUACACCUUUUACUCACACUCUCAUAUAGAUUAAAGAAAGCGAUAUAGACAAUUACAUGUAUAUUCUAGUACUUAUUGUUAAAAAAAGAAGAAGAAAUGCUGUUAUCAUCAAUUGAAAAGACAUUUCCAUUUCUUUUUGUAAAAUAUUUGUUCCGUAAGUUUUUCUUCCAAAAUGUAGUAAUCAUAUAAACAUUUCAAAACAUCAUCAAAAACAAUAUUGACAUUCUUUCUUGAAUAUUGGAAUAUGUAUCUCUUUACUAAGAGGAUUAUAAAGUUUAAAACCAUGUGUUCUCUAUUUUUGUCCAAUUUCCUACAUCAGAUGAGAGACUGAUUUGACAAACUUACAGAUGCGUUAUGAUGAGUUUUGAAUUUACUUUUAAAUAUUGACAUACAUGCAAGUAUAUUAACUCAGUAUUACAAAGAUAUUAUCAAUAGAAGCUGUUUGAACAGAAAACACAUGGAUCCCUUGUGCCUGGUUGCCAGCUUUCAGAUCGAGUAUGGUGCUUGUAAUAAUGUGAAACAGAUCGUUUUUAUGAAAACGUGUGGUGGAAAUCCUACAUGAAGAACAAAUCGUCUACAGUCUAGCGUUGCCUAUUUACGUGUCAGUUGCACAAGUCUGUUUAUGUUGAAGAGUUGGUUCGAGACAUUCGUUAAAUAGCAUAAAAGAAGGGGACAAACCGACGAUUAAAGGAUUGAUUAGAAAAAGGUACCAAAUCGUGUGUUUUGUUUAUGCUCUUUUUUCAAAGACAGGUUCGGGUUUCAUACAGCAAAAUGAUGAAAAAGGGUGGCAAGUGGAGUUUAAGACACUUGGAUAGAUAAGAUAGAAAACGAAGUCUUGUAUUGCUAUGCUAUUUGAGUAAUGAUAUGCGCUGCUGCAAUUGUUUUGAGAUUGGCAAUUGAUAAUUGAAGCAUCUGAUACUCAGUUUUUAAAUGAAACAAUAAUUUUGAUACUUAAUUUAAGAUAUAUGUUGGUGCUUUUCUGAUACCCGCAUGGAUAUCAAAUGCUGUGGUUUUGUCGGAUUAGAAUUUAUUUGAUACAUAGAUUUUAGUGCAGCCUACUUUUUUAUCUACUCUGAUAUAUAAACUAUAGUUUGAAUAUCAUUCGAUUCAUAAUCUUCUUCAACUACGGAAACGACAAUUAUCAUUUCGUGUAUUGGGGUCAACUUAAUAUGUUUCUCAAAAGAAAAUCGCAGCUGACCAUCCUUGUACUAGUUGAAUAGCACAUUUAUUUUAGAACAUUUCUGAUCUGAAGUUAUUCUGUAUACAAGUAUUUGGAUGAUGAGGAUAAUAAAGAUAUAAAUUUCUUCUGGUUUUGGUCUGUCUUUUUUCUGAUCGCUUCAUCUGGAAUUGCCAUGACGUAUAAUGUCUAAGUGGAAGAUCAUCUAAAUAUUAGAAACUUAAAUCUCAAUUUUAAUACGUUGUAAAAAAAAAAAAAAAAAAAAAGUGAGAAAUGCAGGAAUGUAAGUCUAUUUCGUCGAAAACGUACCAUGUAUUUAGCUCGUACGCAUUGAAAAUCCUUUUAUUGAUGUGAAAUGUACGCCCAAGCAAACAUAGAUAGGAAAAACUUCAAACUAAUGUGCGACUACAUCAACCAGAAGUGGUAUAAAUCAAAUGUGGAUUCUAAAAAAAAUUCUAAAGACCUUUUAGUAAAUUAAAAAUCGCAAAGCUUUUCUCAAAGCAACAACAUCAAAACGCACGACUUCUCAACACUUUACACGGUCAUUCCUCACGAUGAAUUAAAGACUAAACAUUUGACAUCAUAGACAGUUGCUUCUUCAACAAAACUGGGAAACGGAAAUAUUUAUAUCUAGUGAUCAGUCAUCCAAAAAUUACUUUGUUAAACGCCACUCUGAUUCUACGCACAAGUUAUCCGAAGUUCAAAUUAAAAAUAUGCUGGAGUUCCUCAUUUAACUUCGUAGUCUUUGGUGAUCAGGUCUUCCAACAGUGUUUGAAUUCCCAUGGACACGAAUGUGCUCCUUUGUUAGCUGCCUGAUUUUAUAUUCUUGUGAAGCAAAAUUUAAUCAAAAACUUCUAUGUAAGAAGAAAAAAUAUCUUGCGCUGGCCUUCAAUGCGACAUUAAGAUAUAUCGACGAUGUAUUAUCUAUCAACAACAAUAAUUUUCAUUCAUAUGUCGAUUCGAUAUAUCCCCGUGAACUCGACAUAUAAGACACCACAGAGUCGUACACUUCUGCUACAUAGAUAUUUUUUUUUAGAAAAUAAAUAUUAACGGCAAAUCAACUAUAUGAUAAACGGGAUGAUAUCAGCUUCUCCAUCAUCAACGUCACAUAUUUAUGUAGCAAUAUUCGAUUAUCAUCUUUAUAUGGUGUUUAUAUCUCUCAAAUGAUUCGUUACGCAAGAGCUUGUUCUCCGUAUAAUCAGUUUUUAAAUAUAGGCGGGCUACUGACAAACAAGUCUAUAUUAAUUGAUCACUGCAUUAUCCCAGUAACUAUAUUAACUGAUCACUAAAUUAUCCCAGUAACCUUAUAAACCGAUCACUGCAUUAUCCCAGUAACUUUAUAAACCGAUCACUGCAUUAUCCCAGUAACUAUAUUAACUGAUCACUAAAUCAUCCCAGUAAAUAUAUUAAUUGAUCACUAAAUUAUCCCAGUAACCUUACAAACCGAUCACCUUUCAGUUUGGGAAAGGGGUAUAUAUUUUACAAAUACGACCAGUUCCAAUUGAAUUUUUAAAUGAAAAUAAACGAUAAAGAAUUAGAACAAGAGAAACACGCAACAUGUUUGUAAUUUUGUGAAUUGUAUUUGUCUGAGUCAUACAAGGAAUAAUUUCAUUUAUAUGUAAAACUUAUACGGUACCAAUUUUGAUGCACCAGAUGCACAUUUCGACAAAUAAUGUCUCCUCAGUGAUGCUCAAGCCGAAAGUUUGGAAAUUCGAAAUAACAAUAAACUUGAAAGAGCUAAAAAGAAAACCAGAGUGCCAAACACUGGAGCCAAAUUCGUCCAAGGAUCAGAGCUAUAUAUGAGGGAAAUUAUCCUUAAUUUUGAAAUGAAUUUCUAAAUUUUAUCCCAGCAAUUGAAUAUACAUCCGUAUUUUCAAGCUAGUAACAUAUAGUGCCAGGAGGAGACAUCCGGUACCUUCACGAUCAUCUCUUGGUUUAAGCGUUUUGGAGAGACAUAAAACAAAGGCCGCUUAAAUCACAGGAAAAGACAAGUACUUAUAAAAGCUAUUAUUAGAAUUGCUUCUAAAUCGUAGAAACGUGGUAUUGUUAGAAAAAGAGAGUCUGGCCGGAAUAGUUUUGUUAACGUUCUAAAAUCUCAUCCAAGACAUAUAGAUAUUAGUUGAAUAUAGGAUGACUAUACGUGAAGUAUGUAUAUAUUUAGGACGAGUUAAACUAACUAUCUCUCCCUUUUCUGAAUUUCAAUUUACUAAAAUCAUUAUCAAUAGGUCUAAUCAAAUUUGGUUGGUUGAUUGAUUGUAAAGAUUAUAUGGUGUGUUUAUUGAAAAUCUUCUCAAUUACACUAACGUAAAACUUAUACGGUGCCAAUUUUAAUGCAUCCGGUGCGCAUUUCGACAAAUGUCUCUUCAGUGAUGCUCAAGCCGAAAUACGAACUCUACACAAGAUUCGAUCACCUGUACAACCUAACAAUCCUUAUCGAAGAUUUCAUCUUGAAACCUCUACGUUAAAGACAUCUGUGUCCCCACUGCUCUGGGGUUCUGUUGUCAAAAAUGGUUCCAAGUCCUGCUGAGACACGCAACAUUUAUAUUACCGUGUACAAGGAAGAACCGCCUUUCUGGUAAGUAAGUAGAUCACUUUUGUAUAUGUAGUUUCGUAAUAAGUUUGAUAUGAAUUACAUUACUUGUGAUAUUUGUUCUCUAUUUUUAGCUCACCUGAACCGAAGGUUCAAGUGAGCUAUUCUGAUCACAUUUUGUCCGGCGUCCGUCUGUCUGUCUGUCCGUCUGUCCGUAAACUUUUCACAUUUUCGACUUCUUCUCCAGAACCACUGGGCCAAUUUCAACCUAACUUGGCCAAAAGCAUCCUUGGGUGAAGGGCUUUCAAGUUUGUUCAAAUGAAGGUCCAUGUCCCUUUCAAAGGGGAGAUAAUCACAAAAAUGCAAAAAUAGCGUGGGGUCAUUUAAAAAUCUUCUUCUCAAGAACCACUGGGCCAGAAGAGUUGAAAUUUACCUGAAAGCUUCCUGACAUAUUGCAGAUUCAAGUUUGGUCAAAUCAUGGCCCCCGGUGGUAGGAUGGGGCCACAAGGGGGAAUCAAAGUUUUACAUACAAAUAUAUAGGGAAAAACUUUAAAAAUCUUCUUCUCAAGAACCACUAAGCCAGAAAAGCUGAGAUUUACAUGAAAGCUUCCUGACAUAAUGCAGAUUCAAGUUUGUUCAAAUCAUGGGCCCCUGGGGUUGGAUGGGGCCACAAUAGGGGAUCAAAGUUUUACAUACAAAUAUAUAGGAAAAAUCUUUAAAAAUCUUCUUCUCAAGAACCACUAAGCCAGAAAAGCUGAUUUUUACAUGAAAACUUUCUGACAUAGUGCAGAUUCAAGUUUGUUCAAAUCAUGGCCCCCGGGGAUAAGAUGGGGCCCCAAGGGGUGGAUCAAAGUUUUACACACAAAUAUAGAAGGAAAAACUUUAAAAAUCUUCUUCUCAAGAACCACUGAGCCAGAAAAGCUAAGAUUUACAUGAAAGCUUACUGACAUAAUGCAGAUUCAAGUUUGUUCAAAUCAUGGGCCCCGGGGGUUGGAUGGGACCACAAUAGGGGAUCAAAGUUUUACAUACAAAUAUAUAGGAAAAAUCUUCUUCUCAAGAACCACUGAGUCAGAAAAGCUGAUUUUUACAUGAAAACUUUCUGACAUAGUGCAGAUUCAAGUUUGUUCAAAUCAUGGGCCCCGGGGGUAGGAUGGGGCCACAAGGGGGGAUCAAAGUUUUACAUACAAAUAUAUAGGAAAAAUCUUUAAAAAUCUUCUUCUCAAGAACCACUGAGCCAGAAAAGCUGAUUUUUACAUGAAAACUUUCUGACAUAGUGCAGAUUCAAGUUUGUUCAAAUCGUGGCCCCCGGGGGUAGGAUGGGGCCCCAAGGGGGGAUCAAAGUUUUACAUACAAAUAUAGGAAAAAGCUUUAAAAAUCUUCUUCUCAAGAACCAUUGGGCCAAAGAAGUUGACAUUUACAUGAAAGCUUUCUGACAUAGUGUAGAUUCAAGUUUGCAAAGGGUAGUUUGGGCCAUAAUAAGGACUAAGGUUUUACAUCCAAAUAUAUAUGGAAAGUCUUCAGAUAUGGGCCAAGGUGACUCGGGUGAGCGAUGUGGCCCAUGGGCCUCUUGUUUUAAUUGUUUUUAUCAUUUUCAACAAAUACAUAUACACCUUUUACUCACACUCUCAUAUAGAUUAAAGAAAGCGAUAUAGACAAUUACAUGUAUAUUCUAGUACUUAUUGUUAAAAAAAGAAGAAGAAAUGCUGUUAUCAUCAAUUGAAAAGACAUUUCCAUUUCUUUUUGUAAAAUAUUUGUUCCGUAAGUUUUUCUUCCAAAAUGUAGUAAUCAUAUAAACAUUUCAAAACAUCAUCAAAAACAAUAUUGACAUUCUUUCUUGAAUAUUGGAAUAUGUAUCUCUUUACUAAGAGGAUUAUAAAGUUUAAAACCAUGUGUUCUCUAUUUUUGUCCAAUUUCCUACAUCAGAUGAGAGACUGAUUUGACAAACUUACAGAUGCGUUAUGAUGAGUUUUGAAUUUACUUUUAAAUAUUGACAUACAUGCAAGUAUAUUAACUCAGUAUUACAAAGAUAUUAUCAAUAGAAGCUGUUUGAACAGAAAACACAUGGAUCCCUUGUGCCUGGUUGCCAGCUUUCAGAUCGAGUAUGGUGCUUGUAAUAAUGUGAAACAGAUCGUUUUUAUGAAAACGUGUGGUGGAAAUCCUACAUGAAGAACAAUCGUCUACAGUCUAGCGUUGCCUAUUUACGUGUCAGUUGCACAAGUCUGUUUAUGUUGAAGAGUUGGUUCGAGACAUUCGUUAAAUAGCAUAAAAGAAGGGGACAAACCGACGAUUAAAGGAUUGAUUAGAAAAAGGUACCAAAUCGUGUGUUUUGUUUAUGCUCUUUUUUCAAAGACAGGUUCGGGUUUCAUACAGCAAAAUGAUGAAAAAGGGUGGCAAGUGGAGUUUAAGACACUUGGAUAGAUAAGAUAGAAAACGAAGUCUUGUAUUGCUAUGCUAUUUGAGUAAUGAUAUGCGCUGCUGCAAUUGUUUUGAGAUUGGCAAUUGAUAAUUGAAGCAUCUGAUACUCAGUUUUUAAAUGAAACAAUAAUUUUGAUACUUAAUUUAAGAUAUAUGUUGGUGCUUUUCUGAUACCCGCAUGGAUAUCAAAUGCUGUGGUUUUGUCGGAUUAGAAUUUAUUUGAUACAUAGAUUUUAGUGCAGCCUACUUUUUUAUCUACUCUGAUAUAUAAACUAUAGUUUGAAUAUCAUUCGAUUCAUAAUCUUCUUCAACUACGGAAACGACAAUUAUCAUUUCGUGUAUUGGGGUCAACUUAAUAUGUUUCUCAAAAGAAAAUCGCAGCUGACCAUCCUUGUACUAGUUGAAUAGCACAUUUAUUUUAGAACAUUUCUGAUCUGAAGUUAUUCUGUAUACAAGUAUUUGGAUGAUGAGGAUAAUAAAGAUAUAAAUUUC